GGGUUUUUCUCUGUAUCUAUUAUUGUAGGAUAUACUGUACAAUAUAAAGUGCCUUGAGGCGCCUUGAGGCGACUGUUGUUGUGAUUUGGCGCUAUAUAGAUAAAAUUGAAUUGAAUUGAAUUGUGCACGCAGAAAAAGGUUUAUUUAGAGCAACAGGUGGGAUAUAUAUAUGCAUACAGUGAAUGUGAGGAGUGAGCUCCAGGGAUUCCAAGGGAAGGUCCAGGGCUGGGGGUAAACUCUCUUAAACUCCUUUUCACUCAGCCCGUGAUACGAAACACACUCGGUCCAAAAUCCACACCAUGCCUUACUCACACUCUAGCUCAUCCAGGAGAGGCAAGCGGGGGUCCAGGAAGGUCUGUAUGAAUAAGAUGGAGAACAACAGUUAGGAAGUGAACCAGGGAAGACAGGAAAGAUACCCCAGAAAGCACCAGGGCUACACUACCUGAAUAAAUACAACGAUCCAGCGAGGAUCAACACUCCACCGGGCCCUUAAGUAUUGCCUGAAUCAGUCAGCAGAGAUUAGCAGCAGGUAAGUAGUGCAUGACAUUUCCAAACAUACCAAAACACAAUAAAGUGUCAUCCUGCAAAAACAGCACAGUAGGUGCCUUUCACAGCGUACACAGUACUGUCCUGGUGUUGUUUCUGAAAGAAAAAGUUUUUAUACAACGUUAAUUUAGCAUAACCAGAAACAAGCUCACUUGUACCUUUGACACAUUUUAAGCAACAUAUCUGUCUCUCACUUUCCUUCUUCCUUUUGUUUUCCUGUCAGUCAUUUUUUUACCUUGGAAGGCAGUUUCACAGGUUCCCUGGGUGUGGUCUCACAGUUGGAUAACUGAUAAUAUAAUAGAUAAUGAUUGUUUUGUUCUCACAUCCUCUCGGAAGAGAUACGCUCUCUGCCAAUUUCUAAAGACAGUGGCACUUCCAGGAUGUUCUGCCUGUGGAUAUGUUUGAGUGUGUUUUGUGCUUUACCAAGCACUGUAUCAUCAGAUCAAGGCGUGUCACUGACGUGUAACGAGGCUGUCAACGUUACCGCUGGAGAAAAUGUGAUUCUAACCUGUUUCAUAAAUUGGAUUUUAGAAGGAGAAGACUGUGUUGGUCACAGUUAUGUCUGGCGUAACACAAAUGGCACCAAACUCUGUGACAAUGGCGUAAAAUACGGCUGUAAAUGGAAUAAUUAUACCUAUGUGUCACUGACCAUCUUAGAUGUGAUAGAAAAGGACGUUGUCACAGUUGAAAUCUCGACAACCUGUGGUAUGGAGAAAUCCCGUCCUAUUAGAGUACAGCCAAUCAGCAGUGAACCAGCUGUAUCAGAUCGGUUGCAGGAGGAGUCAGCACAUGCUGCAACCACUGCGCUUUGUGUUUUUGCCUCUGCUGCUGUUGUUGUGGUCAUUUUGUGUUUCCUAUAUAGAAAAUACAGAUGCAGAGUGAGAGGACAGUGACAUAGACUGCACCAGGGAGUACAGACGGACAAAUUCAGAUUGUUUUUAUCAGUGAACGGGUGGAUAUGAAUGUGUAAGCUGUUUGUGAAAGCUAGUGCUCACCAUUGAUGACUCUGCUCCUAAACCGUCCUGUUGUCAUCAUUUUUUUGUCAUCCGUUUCAUUUUUAGUCUUUCAUGAAAUUCUUUCUUGUGUUUAUGCUGACUGAGCAACAUUCACAUGAGGAUUUUAUGUGAUUAACAGAGCGCUCUACAUGACUUUCAGUCAUGUCAUAUAGUUAAAAGAGGAAAAUGAUGAUGAACCAGCAUUGAUGUAGAUGUUGCACUGUGCAGUAAAGACUCUAUGUUGGGAAUUUUUUUUAACUUUCUGCCUUUAGUCUCUUAUGUCUAAACACUGGCACGGUGUUCUUGCUUCUCUGUUUCUAAAUUAGGUUUAAUUGCAUUUGCAAGAAACUUUUUUUUCUUUUAAGUUCUUCCUUUUUGCACAGUGUUGACAUGAAUUUAUUUCCAUUUACACUUCUUCACUUAGACCGUUUUAAAAUAUUCACUUAUAUCAUAUGAUUUUGAUUCAGCGUGGACCUUCACAUAUUUAAUUCUGGCUCAGCAAAGCGUGAACCAUGGAACUGUGAAGUUUAGUAGGUCAUUCUUACUUUUAACCACUUGGGAAAGCUGUCUGUAUUUGAACAGCCUGUGGCUCUGAAACUGAUGACCUGAACCUGUGGAAACUGAAGGAAUUUGAGGAGUUUAAUGAUUCAGAAUCUUAGUAGUCUAAUAUGAGAGUAUUUCAAAUUCCGUGUGACGGGAUCAUACCAAAAGAGUAGGGUCUCAGACCUCAAAGUUUGCAGGUGACACUAUUGUGUUUGGAGUCAUUGCUGACAGGAAUAAAUCAGCCUAUAGGUGUUAGGUGGAGCAGCUGUCCAGGUGGUGCAAAGACAACAACUUGGUCUUGUCCUCAGACAGAUGAUUCAAGCCUAUGAAACAAGGAUCAACCUGUGAAAGAACAGGUUAGAUUCUGAAGCAAUUAUGUCAGUUAAUGCUGAGUAAAGCACUCAGGCCGCAGUUUUCAACAGCAACAGGAAGGGAAUGUGCAAUAUGUUGAAAGACAAGUGCACCAGAUGAUUUCACUUACUAUCAAAAAGAAAGAGGUUAUGUUUUUGUUGGCAUUUGUGUGCAUACAGGCAUGUUAUCUUUCUUUAUCUGACAAAAACUUUGUAGGUGUGUCGAGCUGGGUCAUGUUAAUGAUUUGGCUUAAAAUUUGGCUUACAUCCAGCAAGAUCUUCAAGGUCAACUUUAAUGAUUUAUAGGUUGAAAAUUUACAAAAAGAUUGUUAACUUAGAAACUAUCAUUCUUUUAAGUGUGAUGUAAAUUGGUAACAUAUAGAAAGUACUGUAUAAAGAUGUAAAAUAUCAGGUCACAUUUGCCCCUCCAUGAGUCUCCGUUUUACCAUGGUGCAGAGGUUUGUGUGCCAGGGGCUAGGUUUAGUUUAAAAUGAAUUGUUUUGUGCUGUAAUUCUGUAUCUAUUUAUACUCUCGUUAGUUCCUUUUCCUUAUUUUGUGCUUGUAUUUCCCGCACUGAAUACUCUCACCUUUGUUAUCAUUCACACAUUUUGAAUUACUGCUCACUUGCCAGAUGUGUUUCUUGUAGUGAAGUAUUUUGGGGGCGAUUUUUAGUUCUUUCUCUUGUCACUCCUUAUGUUGACUUCCUCCUGUGCAACCUUUUGAAGUGUUUUUAGAUUUUGGCUUGGCUGUUUAUUGGAUGCCUUCAUGUGCAUAACCACUGCCUGUUUUGGAAAUACAGAUUUUUAUUGGUGGACUUUAAGUCUGUGGACAUCUUUAGACUACUCCUGCUACCACUGCUACAAAAAUAACUAUUUAAAACAUUUUUUAGUAAUUAAUCCCAACGUUUAUAUCUUUUUUUAUUUAAAAAAAAAUAAAUAAUCAGUAGCAACUUUU
This is a long non-coding RNA of Oreochromis aureus, 3388 nucleotides long. RefSeq lists it as uncharacterized. The record is from RefSeq and is a predicted model, not a curated record. The transcript has 4 exons. Lineage: Eukaryota; Metazoa; Chordata; Actinopteri; Cichliformes; Cichlidae.